RNA transcript from Theobroma umbraticum, 2185 nucleotides. It is a transcript of the gene named WRKY DNA-binding protein 57, with no coding region annotated. Lineage: Eukaryota; Viridiplantae; Streptophyta; Magnoliopsida; Malvales; Malvaceae. The record is from RefSeq and is a predicted model, not a curated record.
UAUUUUCGGUUGACGCCGAUUUUUCUAACUUAUCUUUUCCUCUAUUCCCCCUCUCAGUUCUCCCUCUCUCUUGCUUACUCGCGCGUUCUAUUCAGUUCUCUCUCUCUCUUUGGAUUGACGGGACAAAAAGCUUUCAAAAACUAGGCGUCCCUUCCCAACACUAGAACGCGCCCCUCAGAAACAAACCCUAGCGCUCUCUCUCUUUCUCUCUCUCUCCGUCUCUGCUCCUUUUUUGUUCUUUAUUUCUUCUCUCUCCGCGUUUCUUUUAGAUUCUGUUUGGAUGCUUUGAAUCCUUGAUUUUCUAUUUCUUCUCUUUUUUUUUUAUUCUUUCGUUCGCUGAAGCUUUUGAAGGAUGGAGAAUAAAGAAGGGGCCGAUCCACGGAAUGAGUUUACGUCCGAUUCGAGCUGGACACUGCCUGGGCCUGACCCGGUCUCCGACAGCGUCAAUUACUUCUUCGAUAGGGAAAGCAGUAUACUGAGUGAGUUCGGGUGGAAUCUACAACCGGACCAGGCUGAAGAGAUUGAGCGGUUCGGUGAACUUGACCGUACCGAAACCAGGCCUGAUUUGGCGGGAAACUUUAGCGGCUCACAGAGCUCUGGUGCAGGUGCAGCUGCUGCUGGUUCAGGUUCGGGGACGGCGUCGAAUCCGAGCGGGUCAGCUGACGUGUCGACAUCGAAUCCGUCGGUGUCGUCGAGCUCCAGCGAAGAUCCGCCGGAGAAAUCUACGGGCUCCGGCGGGAAACCGCCCGAGAUACCGAGUAAGGUCAGGAAGAAGGGGCAAAAGCGAAUCCGGCAGCCAAGAUUUGCAUUUGUGACCAAGAGUGAAGUUGAUCAUCUUGAAGAUGGCUAUCGGUGGCGGAAAUAUGGACAAAAAGCCGUUAAAAAUAGUCCAUUCCCUAGGAGCUACUAUCGCUGCACAAAUAGCAAAUGCACAGUGAAGAAGAGAGUAGAACGUUCCUCUGAAGAUCCCACCACUGUCAUUACUACAUAUGAAGGUCAACACUGUCAUCACAGUGUCGGAUUCCCCCGUGGUGGACUCGUCAGCCAUGAAGCUGCCUUUGCUGGUCAAUUGACUCCUGCAGUCUCACAAUUUUAUUAUCCAGGGGUACAGUUACAUAGGGAAAUUCCUCCAAGCAUAACACAGUCACACCAAGUACCCAUUGACGUAGGAGGAUCUCGUGCGCUGCCAGAACCAACCCCUCAGCUUCCCACAGAUGAAGGGUUACUUGGGGAUAUUGUGCCUCCUGGAAUGCGUAACAGAUGAGAAAGAAAGCAUGGCCAGGCAAUGCUUGGUUCUAAGGACCAUCUCCGGGAUAUCAGAAGAGCCAAAGCCAAGGGCAAUUUUUUCCAAGAAGUGAGUUCGUUACCUGAAAACACAAUCCUUAAGAGACCCAUUUAGGAGAUGUACAUGCGAUGGGAGGAGCACACCCUCUCUCACUGCACCACAUCGCCCCUCCCAAACGUCUCUCCUUAAAUAUCAAUAUUAUACUUACAUGAAUCAGUUUCAUGGAUUCAUCAAGGAAUAUGACAGUACCGUUAGCCCCAUGUUCGAGGUAACGAUCAUCCAAGGUAUACUCUCCCUGUCAUGUCUAUCCCACCCACUAAACUCCAACAGCUAAAAACAUUUUUUACUCAGUACCUAUUGGUAGUUGCUAGAAUACGAAGAAUGCCCUCUGGUCAUGCUCAAAAGAAAAACUUAAAAUCCAUGAAAAUACUGUUUAAUAUAUAAGUAAAAUCUUCAAGGGUUAGAUAGGAAAGACAGACUUAAUUCAUUUCUUUGUACCCUAUAAUAAAUUACUCCCUUUUUUUUCUAUAUAUAUAUAUAUAUAUACAUAAAAAGCAUUCUUUAACUAUUGCCAACUAGACACCUGCAAUUUAAGAGUGUUUGGUCCAAAGGAUCUUUUUAAUAUUUCCUGUAAUGUGAAUUAUAAAAUUAUAUUAUAAUUUUUGAUAAAUAAAAAAAUCAAGGUAAUAUAAUAUUAUAUUGUCAUCUCAUUAUAUUUAAUAAAAAUAAUAUUUUUUUAUAUUAACAUGUAAGCGUUGAGAUACAUAGCAAGAGAUAACUCUUUAUUUAAAAAAAAUAAAAAAAGAUAUACAUAAUUUUCUCACUUUGAAUAGAAUAAUUAUAUGCAAAUAAUUAAAACAAAAAUUAUCUGAUUAGAGAACCACUAAGAUAUCUCGAACU